UCUAUUCUCUUAUCCCCGUUCCUCCAACUGUUCUUGACCUGACAUCCUUAUCCUUUCUCCAUCUCAGUGAUGCUCUGCCUCCCGCCGCCUACUCCCUUCGUUCCUUGCCGUGCACUACUGCUAGCCUGCUGCUCUUCGUCGCCGCUGCGAGGCACUCAUUUUGCUCCGCAGCUGCUGCCGACGCGCGCCGUGCUGCAUCUUUGCCGGACCACGUGGAGCAGAAGUGGGGCCAUCGACGGCACACCCCGCUGCUCCCGCGUGGUCGCGCUCUACCCUGAUGUGCCGCUUCCCCGCCGUCGCGCUUUGAGCCCGGCAUGCUGCUCCCCGAUGCCGCGCGUGCUUUCUCGUGCCAAAGUUGGAAUUUUGGAGUGAACUAAACAUGGGCUCAGCUGUGCAGCACAGUAGUAGCCGUGCUUUCGCCAACAGGGACCAUGGAAAGAGUUCCAGCGAAGUGAGCAAGCGAAAGUUACAGCCUACAGCUGCUACACCUCGCUGCUAAGGUUACAGCGGUGUGUGCGCAGUUACUGGAGCUGAUGAGUAGCUGGGUUCUCUACUCUCGUCUCUACUACUGCUAGUACACUUAUGGAGACGGACUGAGACAAGGGAGGAGCAAAAUCGCAAACUAUUUGGUCGCCGAACCCAUCUUCUUCUCCGAUUCGAAUUCCAUCGAUCAUUUCUUUCUUUCUUCUGCUCAUGAGAUUUGCAUGGCCUGAAGAGCCCCGCAUGGUGAUUGGCGAGUACCACUCGCUCCCAGCUGCCAUUGGAAACUUUCUACCACCGCUGUAAUAAGCUAGGUACCGUUGCCCAGUAAAUUAAACGCACAGUGCAUGGCGCCUUGAUCGA
This is a long non-coding RNA of Setaria italica (foxtail millet), 843 nucleotides long. RefSeq lists it as uncharacterized. The transcript is spliced from 2 exons. Lineage: Eukaryota; Viridiplantae; Streptophyta; Magnoliopsida; Poales; Poaceae. The record is from RefSeq and is a predicted model, not a curated record.